Molecule: ribosomal RNA, 292 nt
Filed under: uncultured bacterium
Lineage: Bacteria
Description: partial 16S ribosomal RNA
Source: RNAcentral
GGACUACUGGGGUAUCUAAUCCUGUUCGCUCCCCACGCUUUCGCUCCUCAGCGUCAGUAACGGCCCAGAGACCCGCCUUCGCCACCGGUGUUCCUCCUGAUAUCUGCGCAUUCCACCGCUACACCAGGAAUUCCAGUCUCCCCUGCCGCACUCCAGCCAGCCCGUACCGGAAGCCAACCCGCCGUUAAGCAGCGGGCUUUCACUCCCGACGCGACAAGCCGCCUACGAGCCCUUUACGCCCAAUAAAUCCGGACAACGCUCGCACCCUACGUAUUACCGCGGCUGCUGGCAC